GGACCCGUGGCCCAAUUGGCAAGGCGUUUGACUACGAUUUGUGUCUUAUCACAUCAAAAGAUUGUGGGUUCGAAUCCCAUCGGGUUCA
This is a non-coding RNA of Onygenales sp. PD_40, 88 nucleotides long. NCBI's taxonomy places the organism in Eukaryota, Fungi, Ascomycota, Eurotiomycetes, Onygenales. The record is from the annotation of a GenBank genome assembly.